UCACAGAUAUGCGACGCUGGUAGCGAACGUGUCAAAAAAAAGUAAGCGUUUUUAGCCCUUACAGAAUUCCCGCGGUAACGAUUGUCGCGCACCGAGUCCAAAUAGUGAAAGGGGUGGCGGGGAUCGAUGGAGUGGGUCGAAAGAAAAAAUCCGGCAUAAAAUUAACAGUAUACAGCUUGCAGAAUGCAGUUUGUUGCUCACCGGCAAUAUUUCACGAUGGCCUCUCCCGCGAAGGCCGAGCUAGGGGUUCGUUCUAGAGGGGGGUGUGCAACAAUGGAACCCUUUACCCAGCCCCUAGCGCCCAGCCAACAUCCAUACAUCAUCAUUCAUACUGAAAAAAAACCUGGGGGCACCUAUGGCAGUCUACGCUUGGAGGGGUUCUUCGAAAUUUCAAAGUACCGAGUACGCAUCAAGUACUUUCUAAUGCUACGUUGGAUUUUCGGUUCGUCUGGCUCACCGUGUCCAAGUUCCACCUUCGAUGGCCACUGGUUCCGCGGAUUUAGGUACCUCAGAUAAUAAUGUUGUAACACUUGAUGAUCUAAAGGAAAUUGCUGAAGUUGCAGAAAAUUCAGCUCUUGUGCACAAGAACAUCAUUAAUUCCGAAGGGGUCUCUUCUUCACAUGCUUUGGUCAAUACAGUAUUAGCUACUUUCUCUGGUUUUAUCGGUUCAUUGAAUAAACUGACAUUGUAUUGGAUUUUUUUGUAAUGCAAUACUUCAGUGCAUCGCAAUGAAGAAGUUUUAUAUAAGAAAUAAUGGGAAUGAUUGAAGCAACGGUUGUUUCAAUGGUGAAAGUCACUGCCAAUGAAGGUUUCCAAAUAAAACCGUGAAGUUCCUGCGGUUAUUUUAUUCUCAAAAACCACCUGGCAUCUUUUAAAAAUCCACCACGCCCCGAAAACCCGAAAGGGGUUCCACCAGUAGUAAACAAUGACGUGCAAAACUGCCGCGGAGGGUGAAGAAAAAUAAUGUUGAGCUAUUGCGAAAAGGCGUAAAAACCGUUUGAUUAUUUACAAUUCCUUUUCCCUCUACUAAAAAAUUUCCAGAAGUGGCUACCGAAAAUACUGCUUCCUUGAUGUGAACAAAAUUUUAUUCAACAAAUGUGCCUAACAAAUUUCAUAGCAUGCCUAUUCAUGGCAUUCGUGGCACAAAAAAGGUCCCCAAGAAGAAGACGAAGAAGUAUCGAUCAAUCAUCGAUUCAAAACGAUCCUGAAACGUCGAUGUGUUAUCUGGAGUGCGAAAGGAAAGGGAAAGAACGCCGAAUGAGAAACGUAAUCCGCUUU
This is a non-coding RNA of Nomia melanderi (Alkali bee), 1278 nucleotides long. Lineage: Eukaryota; Metazoa; Arthropoda; Insecta; Hymenoptera; Halictidae. The record is from RefSeq and is a predicted model, not a curated record.